Molecule: ribosomal RNA, 408 nt
Filed under: uncultured Lactobacillus sp.
Lineage: Bacteria; Bacillati; Bacillota; Bacilli; Lactobacillales; Lactobacillaceae
Description: bacterial SSU rRNA
Rfam family: Bacterial small subunit ribosomal RNA
Source: RNAcentral
UACCAUUUGGAAAAACAGAUGCUAAUACCGGAUAAAAGCACUUUCGCAUGAAAGAGUUUUAAAAGGCGGCGUAAAGCUGUCGCUAAAAGGGAUGGGACCUGCGAUGCAUUAGCUAGUUGGUAAGGUAACGGGCUUACCAAGGCGAUGAUGCAUAGCCCGAGUUGAGAGACUGAUCGGCCACAUUGGGGACUGAGACACGGGCCCAAACUCCUACGGGAGGCAGCAGUAGGGAAUCUUCCACAAUGGACGAAAGUCUGAUGGAGCAAACGCCGCGUGAGUGAAGAAGGUUUUCGGAUCGUAAAGCUCUGUUGUUGGUGAAGAAGGAUAGAGGUAGUAACUGGCCCUUUAUUUUGACGGUAAUCAACCAGAAAGUCACGGGCUAACUACGUGCCAGCAGCCGCGGUAAAU